UAGAUACUCCUUUCGUCCGAAAAAGCUUGUCCCAAACUUGUCUCUCAAAUGAAUGUAUCUAGCACUAACUUGGUGCUAGAUACAUCCAUUUGAGGGGCAAGUUUUUCCGGACGGAGAGAGUAUAAG
This is a non-coding RNA of Triticum aestivum (bread wheat), 126 nucleotides long. Lineage: Eukaryota; Viridiplantae; Streptophyta; Magnoliopsida; Poales; Poaceae. The record is from Rfam.